AAUUUUGUUUUUGUUUAGAUAGCAUUUUCCUAAAUGCUGAAUUUCCUAAAUCUAAAUAGUUUGUUUGGCAAGUGUGGUGGCUCACGCCUGUAAUCCCAACACUUUGGGAGGCCGAGGCAGGCAUAUCACCUGAGGUCAGGAGUUCAAGACCAGCCUGGCCAACAUGGUGAAACCACGUCUCUAUUAAAAAUACAAAAAUUAGCUGAGUGUGGUGGUGCAUGCAUGUAAUCCCUGCUACUUGGGAGGCUGAGGCAGGAGAAUCACUUGAACCCAGGAGGUAGAGGUGGCAGUGAGCUGAGAUCACACCACUGCACUCCAGCCUGGGUGACAAAAAAAAGACUCUGUCUCAAAAAAAAAAGAAAAAAAAAAGUUUGUUUGCAUCCCUCCCUUUCUCGAUAGUUUUUUCCCCUGUGAUUAUUAUUACAAAAUGAACUAUUCAUAGUUAUAGCCUGGUAGUAAUUCAUUUCUGCUGCACCACAGAUUUCUUACUUUCUACCUGGGAAUUUCUGCUGCUUCUGCAUGGGUAGCUUGCAGGUAGGUCUUCAGACAUGAUGGCUCUCACAUACACCUGGAAUUGCAUAGGGCUAACACCUCCAUGACAACUCUUGGGCAGUAGCUGAAAAGACCCAGCAGUUUUUUACUAAGUCUUCAACACCUUAAAUAAAAAAUUCUGAGGUAUAUUUUACACAAUUCCUAAUAUCAUUCCACUGUGAUAACCAGCACAAAUAAGCAAUUUCAAAUUGACAUUCUUUUCUUUUUUUGUUGGAAUCAACUCAGUCCCUCUACUUCAAUUCUCUGGAUAUCUUCCCAGAACAAUUUACCUAUAUAUGACCAGUUGUCUAAGAAUUAUCUUGUUAAGGUGGCCAUAUAGGGGAGGCAAGUUCACACAGUUUGUUAUUAAUGAGAAUUAUCAUGCUAAACCUUACCUGCAAUGCCUAUGCCUCAUAAGCAGAAAUGAGAAGGUGAGUAUGAGAAUUCCUUUGACAUUCUUGGGCCUAUUUUUACUGGAUAUAAUCGUAGUUUUGUGUAAUUAUAUUUAUAACCCUAAAGUAAGAACAAGAAAAAAAAAUACUAAGCACUGAUUUUACCCUGGGAAUAAAGGAGAUCAUCAUUUAUUGUUAUGCCUAAAAUUUUUGAAACUUCAAAGGUUUUGCACCUGAUUCUUCCUAAUGUGUCAUCGAGUCUCAGUUUGUUCGAAAAGAGUGGAAUUUUUAAAAGUUAAAAAGAAGACAAUGUGAGUGGCUGAAAUGCAUUUUGGCAUCCUUUUCAUGACAAUGAGACUAACUUUACCAAUACAAAUAAAACCAGAAGUUAAAUUUUAAAAUAAACACAUAGGUAAAGUCUUAAAAGAAACCUAAUAUAAUUCCUUUAUGUAAUAGUAAGGAAACUAACAUAAGUAAAAUGGAUCAAGAAGUAAGAAUUCAAAAUUUAUUGUCUCGAAAUAUUUUAACUCAGGUGAAAGGCAACAAGGCUAUGUGACUAAAAACAUAAACUCUGGAACUGAAUUUCAUUUCUGAGUUUAAUGUCUGGCUCUGCCACUGUGCCUGCUGUGCUGCUGUGAUGGUUAUUUGAUAUUCCUUGACCUUUUCCUCAUCUCUAAAAUUAUUAUCUACUUCAUAGCCUU
RNAcentral lists this long non-coding RNA (1624 nucleotides) under Macaca nemestrina (pig-tailed macaque). Its description in RNAcentral is "lncRNA (ENSMNEG00000045856.1)". Lineage: Eukaryota; Metazoa; Chordata; Mammalia; Primates; Cercopithecidae. The record is from RNAcentral.